CGGCCGCAGAGCGAUGAGGCCCGCUCCACAACCGCGGCGUGACCGCUGAUGGCUUCUACGACCAC
This 65-nucleotide non-coding RNA is filed under the name Patulibacter medicamentivorans. RNAcentral describes it as "Fluoride sequence". It matches the Rfam family "Fluoride riboswitch aptamer (crcB RNA motif)". The record is from Rfam by way of RNAcentral. Lineage: Bacteria; Bacillati; Actinomycetota; Thermoleophilia; Solirubrobacterales; Patulibacteraceae.